AUUGUCCGGGAUCGCCCCCCGUCAGCGAGUGUUCGCCCACGGGGGCAUUUGUC
RNAcentral lists this small RNA (53 nucleotides) under Roseisalinus antarcticus. Its description in RNAcentral is "ffh sRNA". It matches the Rfam family "ffh sRNA". The record is from Rfam by way of RNAcentral. Lineage: Bacteria; Pseudomonadati; Pseudomonadota; Alphaproteobacteria; Rhodobacterales; Roseobacteraceae.